RNAcentral lists this ribosomal RNA (482 nucleotides) under uncultured bacterium. RNAcentral describes it as "partial 16S ribosomal RNA". It matches the Rfam family "Bacterial small subunit ribosomal RNA", at positions 30 to 507 of the family's 1533-position model. The record is from RNAcentral.
AUUGAACGCUGGCGGCAUGCCUUACACAUGCAAGUCGAACGGUAACGGGCCUUCGGGUGCCGACGAGUGGCGAACGGGUGAGUAAUACAUCGGAACGUGCCCGAUCGUGGGGGAUAACGGGGCGAAAGAUUUGCUAAUACCGCAUACGAUCUGAGGAUGCGACUAGGGGACCGCAAGGCCUUGCGUGGCCGGUGCGGCCGGUGGCAGCGUAGGUAGUUGGUGGGAUAAAGGUUUCACAAGCCGAGGAUCUGCAGCUGGUCUGAGGGGAUCGUCAGCCACAAUGGGACUGAGACACGGCCCAGACUCCGACGGGAGGAAGCAGUGGGGAAUUUUGGGGAAUGGGCGAAAGCCUGAUCCAGCCAUGCCGGGUGCAGGAUGAAGGCCUUCGGGUUGUAAACUGCUUUUGUACGGAACGAAAAGCCUUCUUUUAAUACAGGAGGGUCAUGACGGUACCGUAAGAAUAAGCACCGGCUAACUACGUG